GAUCAUGGCUCAGGAUGAACGCUAGCUACAGGCUUAACACAUGCAAGUCGAGGGGCAGCAUGAACUUAGCUUGCUAAGUUUGAUGGCGACCGGCGCACGGGUGAGUAACACGUAUCCAACCUGCCGAUGACGUCGGGGAUAGCCUUUACGAAAGAAAGAUUAAUACCCGAUGGCAUAGUUCUUCCGCAUGGUAGAAACUAAUUAAAGAAUUUCGGUCAUCGAGUGGGGAUGUCGUUCC
Molecule: ribosomal RNA, 238 nt
Filed under: uncultured bacterium
Lineage: Bacteria
Description: partial 16S ribosomal RNA
Rfam family: Bacterial small subunit ribosomal RNA
Source: RNAcentral